CUUUCUCUCGCUGCCCCUUACCUUCCAUCCCAACCAUUCUCUCGCUGCCCCUUACCUUCCAUCCCAACCACCAGAGAUCAGUUGCUGGAAAAAAAAAUAUACCAGAAAGAGAACCCAAUGUUUUAAGAACAAAUCAACAUCAUGGUUUUCCAAUUAUUUAUUUUUUCUGUUUUUUCUUCUGUUUUCAUUUUCUGGAAUUUAUUUCCCUUUUUAUCAAUUUAGGCCAAUUCAUUCCAAGUGAAGAGAGUUCCAAUUCAACAAAAAUUCCAAUUAAUUUCAUUCUGAUCCAUUCAAAUUUAUCAAUUUCACAGUGAGAGGUUGGUUGUUUUCAUUCACCCAAAUUUCAAAACUAGAUUACGACAGAGAAGAAAAGGGGAAGAUGGGGAAGAGAGUCAUGCUGGGCGGGAGGAAAGGGGGCGCCGGUGAUGGUGACGGUGAUAGUGACAGUGCCGGCGAGGAGAAGGACAGGGGCAGCUAUGAUCAUAGAGAGGAAGAUGGAAGGGUACGUUACACAGAGAAAGAGAAGAGUGUUUUUUGUUUUUACUAAAUAAAGUAUAAUUUUUUACUAUUUAAUCUCAACCCUUGAAUUUGUCUUUGCCACAUGUCAUACAUCUAUGCCUUGGAAUGGGAUCAAUUGAGCACACCUAAAUGGAGCAAAGAUGAACUCCACUUAUUUAUAGCAUUGACAUUCUAACA
This 696-nucleotide long non-coding RNA is filed under the name Medicago truncatula (barrel medic). RNAcentral describes it as "lncRNA gene17070". The record is from RNAcentral. Lineage: Eukaryota; Viridiplantae; Streptophyta; Magnoliopsida; Fabales; Fabaceae.